UACGAAGGCAGCAGUGGGGAAUAUUGCACAAUGGGCGCAAGCCUGAUGCAGCCAUGCCGCGUGUAUGAAAAAGGCCUUCGGGUUGUAAAGUACUUUCAGUCGUGAGGAAGGUGUUAAGGUUAAUAACCUUAGCAAUUGACGUUAGCGACAGAAGAAGCACCGGCUAACUCCGUGCCAGCAGCCGCGGUAAUACGGAGGUGCGAGCGUUAAUCGGAAUUACUGGGCGUAAAGGGCACGCAGGCGGUUAAUUAAGUUGGAUGUGAAAUCCCCGGGCUUAACCUGGGAAUGGCAUUCAAGACUGGUUAGCUAGAGUCUUGUAGAGGGGGUAGAAUUCCAUGUGUAGCGGUGAAAUGCGUAGAGAUGUGGAGGAAUACCGGUGGCGAAGGCGGCCCCUGGACAAAGACUGACGCUCAUGUGCGAAAGCGUGGGGAGCAAACAGGGAUUAGAUACC
This 451-nucleotide ribosomal RNA is filed under the name uncultured bacterium. Its description in RNAcentral is "bacterial SSU rRNA". It matches the Rfam family "Bacterial small subunit ribosomal RNA", at positions 340 to 786 of the family's 1533-position model. The record is from RNAcentral.